AGAGUCAUUGUUUAGAAUGUCUGCAACAAACAACCAGCAGUAACAAGAUGUCAAAGUUCCAUAAGAGAAUAAAGGUUGCUGGAUUCCAGGUGUGAGGAAACUAUAAUAUGAUUGAGCUAUUGAAAAGAGAAGAUGACUGCUCACCAUAUCUCCUGCUGAGCACAAAGUAGCCACGGGGCAAUUAAUGAAAACAAUGUGGGAAAAAAUAAGAAACAAUAAAUGGCACAGCUGUGAAAGUGCAACAGAAGAUAUUAGUAUGGGAUUAGAUUCAACAUUCAUUAGUUCUGUGAUAAAUGUGAUGGCAAGUCUGCUACAAAGUCUAGUGACCCAGUUUGUCAGGAGCCUGAUGGGAUCUGAAGAGGUAUCAUGACUCCAGGAAACCACAGAAUCAAAUGAUAAAUGUUAUAAACUGUGUUACAGUGGUCAAAAUCUUCUCAGAGCGGAGGCCAUCAGAAUUAUUACAGUACUGAAUCAAAUGUCUUACUUGAACCUGAAGCUAAGAGAUGUUCAUUGCUUGCCUUUAGAGAUCUCUGAUCACCAAGCAAAGAAACCGGGAGCAACUUUUUCUGAUUGUGGCUUUGCAUUCAUUGUGCAACUCUGACUCCAAAUAAGCUGCCCUUUCCAAGUCUAAUUUUAAUAAAUGAAUCAAUCAGAUUGUGGGAUUCAGUUCAAAACCCAGGAGACUAAAGUGCCUCAGAGGCUGUGACUGCACAAAAUUCAGACAUACCAAUAUUUUUGUCUAGAGUUAAUCCCAGCAGCCGCCGUGACCUUCCAACGGAUGAAAUAGAGAGAGCUGAGAAGUUUUGAUGCCUGGUCAAUCAGGUGUUGUUAACAAUGCAAUCUCCAGUGAACCUUCUUUUUGAGUUAUUUUCAAAAAGGCCAUGUGUAAAAAAUGCCUAUAUUUAUACAGCAUUGUGUUAACUUCACAAAGGGAGGGGAAUGAUAAAUUUUCAGGCAUAAAGCUGCAGCUGUCAUCAGCAAUGCUCACUAAUUUUAAUCAAAAUGUUUUCAAAGCAGCAGUCCUGAUUUAGGGCUGAACACAUGUUAUACCCACUCCCUUCUUGAGGCUAUUGUGGAAAGCAAUCAACCAAGGGAAAAAAAAUCCUUUAAAGAUGUCCAAUUGAUAUCAUUUAAUGUCAUGGCAUACUUAUAUUAAAAUCCUUUCCUCCAAGUCCACUUUUUUGAUGCCCAAUGGUGGUACUAAACAAAGUUGCUAGGCUGGAUGACAGCUCAGUUCUUCCGUUUCUAAAUUACAACUCUCAAUUCAGUGUGAGGGGACCCACAGUGUCCUUACUUGUGAUCAAGAGGAGUAUCAAUAGGUCUGAGGGGACCAGUUCAUAGUUCACACAAACUCUGUAGAAAUAAAUAUUUGUGUCAUAUA
Pantherophis guttatus is the source of this 1381-nucleotide long non-coding RNA. RefSeq lists it as uncharacterized. NCBI's taxonomy places the organism in Eukaryota, Metazoa, Chordata, Lepidosauria, Squamata, Colubridae. The record is from RefSeq and is a predicted model, not a curated record.